GCAUGGCCGGGCCUAGCGCCAGACGUCCUGCGCGACGUCCGCUCCCGGCUCCCGUCCCUCGCCGACCGCGUCCGCCUCCGCGCCAUCUGCCGCCCAUGGCGCACGGGCGUCAAGCUCCAGCCGUGCCGGGCCCCUCCGCAUCUCCCCUGGCUCGCCCUCCCGGACGGCACCGCCUUGGACUUCGCCCACAACAGCGCGUACCGUCUGCGUAUCCCAAACGACGACGGCCCCUGCUACAGCGCCGGCGAGAGCAUGUUCUUCCACCACGGCAACGACGGGCGGUGCUCCGUGGUCAACGGGUUCUCCGGCGCCGCGACGCCUCUCCCCGAGCUGGCCGAACUCCUACGGUCUCACAUGGUAAAUCCAUGCGACGAGAAAAAGUUCGAGUCCAAGCGGUCUGAGAAUAUGAGGAUCAAGAAGGUGGCGAUGUCAUCCGUGGCAGCCUCGCCGAACCAUCAACGCCUCGUGGCCGUUCUAGCCAGUAACUGCUCCAAAUCCAGAGUCUUUAUCUCCACGUGCCGACCGGCCGGCGAGAUCAACUCGUGCAUUGUGACGCAGGAGACAUCCACCAUCCUCGACGUCGCCUUCUUCCAAGGGAAGAUGUACGCGCAGGUCAAGAUAUUCCAGGAGCUCCUCGCCGUCGAACUCAGCGACGGCUGGCUCGACAAGCCGCCGACGCCGCCCGGCGUCCAACCUCAAGUGAAAGCGUUCACAUCAUGGAUAUGGCCCCCUGACCUCCAACCGGACAUGUAUCUGAAACAAUUCUCCCACGACAAUAGCCCGAACGAGCAAGUACAGCAAUAUCUAGUGGAAUCCAACAGCAAGCUGCUGCUGGUGAGGAGAUAUUUCCGGGCCCCACCCCCGCAAAUUGGCCGCAAACAACAUUUAAGUUGCCGGUUCGAGGUGCUCGAGGCGGACCUCACGGACGGUCCCGGCCUUGGCCUGUGGAAGAAGGCCCGCAGCCUCGACGGCUGGGCGCUCUUUGUGGGCGCCACGUGCUCCAAGUCUUUCCGUGCUAGUGAUGUUGAUGGAGCUCGAGGAGAUUGUGUCUACUUCCUGCUCGAUCAUGGCAAUCCCCUUGGCCACGCCGGCGUGUACAGCGUGGUGCACAGGACGAUCGUGCCGUUCAUGCCACCGUCGCGGAGGGUAAAGCCAAAGAGAUGGUCAUGGGAUAACCUGAGGUUUCCGGCAUGGUUUUUCCCG
RNAcentral lists this ribosomal RNA (1203 nucleotides) under Triticum aestivum (bread wheat). RNAcentral describes it as "partial small subunit ribosomal RNA". Lineage: Eukaryota; Viridiplantae; Streptophyta; Magnoliopsida; Poales; Poaceae. The record is from RNAcentral.